RNAcentral lists this long non-coding RNA (1201 nucleotides) under Homo sapiens (human). RNAcentral's name for it is "HSALNT0374489". Lineage: Eukaryota; Metazoa; Chordata; Mammalia; Primates; Hominidae. The record is from RNAcentral.
CUACACGGACCCUUCUAUGAUAAAAGCACUGAAACUAAAGCAAACAGUGGAAGAAAGAUUGCUACUAUAAUAUACACAAGCAUUUUUAGAGAAAUAAGCAAAAAUUCAGGCAGAUAUUACCGUGUAUUUCUGUAAAGUUACACUGAGUGUGUCUGCCUCUUCCGCCUCCCCUUCCACCUCCUCCACUUCUUCUGUCUCUGCCACCCCAAGACAAGAGCAACUCCCCUUUUUCCUCUUCCUCCUCAGUCUACUCAGUGUGAAGAUAACAAGGAUCAAGAUCUUUAUUAAAAUGAUACACUUCCACUUGACCAAUAGUAAGUAUAUUUUCUCUUGUGAUUUUCUUAGUAACAUUUUUUCUCUAGCUUACUUUAUUACAAAAUACAGCAUAUAAUAUACACAACACACAAAAUAUUUGUUAUUCAGCUGUUUAUGUUGUAGGUAAUAUUUCCAGUCAACAGUAGGCUAUUAGUAGUUGUUUUGGAGAAGUCAAAAGUUAUACACAGAUUUUCGACUGGGCAGGGGGUCAGUGACCCUAACCCCCACAUUCAAGGCUCAAUUGUGUGUAUAUAUACACAGAGCAUAGUCCUCACCUAAUGCCAUGGAUAGAUUCUUGGAAAUUGUGACUUCAAGCAAAAUGAUGCAUAACGAAACCAACUUUACUAUAGGCUAAUUGAUAACAGCAAGAGUCAAGUUCCUAUCGCAUAUAUCUGUCAGAAAAAGAUAAAACACUUCUGAUAUAAAACAUUAAAAUGAAUUUGAGCUAUAUGUACAUUUAAGGAAAAUUAAUAAAAAGCAGGAUAAUGAUAUACCCAAUUAUUGCACUUCAGGUUCGUGGGUGGCUGGAGUCGAUCCCAGCAGCUAAGGAUGCAAGGCAGGAAUUUAACCCCUAGCAGAACGCCAUCCCAUGGCAGGAUGCACUUACAGACACCCACAUUCACUCACACUGGGCAAUUUGCACAUGCCGAUUAACCAAAUACGCACCGCUUCGUGAUGUGGGAGGAAACUGGAGUACUUGGAGAAGACCCACACAAACAUGGGGAGAACGUGAGAACUUCACAUAGACGGGGGACCCUAUCAGGAAUCAUUUAUUUUUCUCAUCAAUGUUAUAAAGAAAUGUUGCUAGUCAAAGACCUGACAUAUACAUAUAUGGUUUAUAUACAUACAUACAUAACUGUUUAUCCAUAUAUAAGUAUAUGGAAAA